GAUUCCUGUACUGCGGUAUGACAGAACUGUGGGGACACGUAAGGAAAGCGGAAGCCGGGAAUGGAAAGCCCGGUGCAAGCGGGGUACCAGUCACUUUGGCAAAUCCGGGUGGCAAUGGGAAGCCGUGAUGCGGAGCGAAAUAAAGUAGCGAAGUCCGUGAGCCAUGCGUCAAGAAAAGCCGCUAUUGUUUAUACCGUACCCGUACCGUAAACCGACACAGGUGGAUGAGGAGAGAAUCCUAAGGCCGGCGGAAGAAGCAUUGUCAAGGAACUCGGCAAAAUGGCCCCGUAACUUAGGGAUAAGGGGUGCCUGGGAAACCAGGCCGCAGAGAAUAGGCUCAAGCAACUGUUUAGCAAAAACACAGGUCUAUGCGAAACCGAAAGGUGAGGUAUAUGGGCUGACGCCUGCCCGGUGCUGGAAGGUUAAGAGGAGAGGUUAGCGGUAACGCGAAGCUUUGAAUUUAAGCCCCAGUAAACGGCGGCCGUAACAAUAACGGUCCUAAGGUAGCGAAAUUCCUUGUCGGGUAAGUUCCGACCCGCACGAAAGGCGUAAUGAUUUGAGCGCUGUCUCGACAAUGCAUCCGGUGAAAUUGAAGUACCAGUGAAGAUGCUGGUUACCUGCGCCAGGACGGAAAGACCCCAUGGAGCUUUACUCCAGUCUGGUACUGGGACUCGGUAUUGCAUGUACAGGAUAGGUGGGAGGCUAGGAGAUGGUAACGCCAGUUGCCAUGGAGCCGCUGUUGGGAUACCACCCUUGCAGUAUUGGGUUUCUAACCAGCCGCCGUGACUCGGCGGUGGGACAAUGCCAGACGGGGAGUUUGACUGGGGCGGUCGCCUCCGAAAGGGUAUCGGAGGCGCCCAAAGGUUCCCUCAGAAUGGACGGAAACCAUUCGAAGAGUGCAAAGGCAGAAGGGAGCUUGACUGCGACACCGACGGGUGGAGCAGGUACGAAAGUAGGGCUUAGUGAUCCGGUGGUAUUAAGUGGGAAUGCCAUCGCUCAACGGAUAAAAGCUACCCUGGGAUAACAGGCUUAUCACUCCCAAGAGUUCACAUCGACGGAGUGGUUUGGCACCUCGAUGUCGGCUCAUCGCAUCCUGGGGCUGUAGUAGGUCCCAAGGGUUGGGCUGUUCGCCCAUUAAAGCGGUACGCGAGCUGGGUUCAGAACGUCGUGAGACAGUUCGGUCCCUAUCCGGCGUGGGCGUAGGAUAUCUGAGAGGAGCUGUCCUUAGUACGAGAGGACCGGGAUGGACGGGCCGCUGGUGCAUCGGUUAGACUGCCAAGUCUACGGCCGAGUAGCCAAGCCCGGAAGGGAUAAACGCUGAAGGCAUCUAAGCGUGAAGCCCCCCUUAAGAUGAGAUAUCCCAUUCGAAAGAAGUAAACCCCCUUGAAGACGACGAGGUAGAUAGGGCAGAGGUGGAAGUGCAGCAAUGCAUGGAGCUGACUGUUACUAAUCGGGUGAGGGCUUGAACAA
Molecule: ribosomal RNA, 1470 nt
Filed under: metagenome
Description: bacterial LSU rRNA
Rfam family: Bacterial large subunit ribosomal RNA
Source: RNAcentral